Tachysurus vachellii is the source of this 311-nucleotide long non-coding RNA. RefSeq lists it as uncharacterized. The transcript is spliced from 3 exons. The record is from RefSeq and is a predicted model, not a curated record. Lineage: Eukaryota; Metazoa; Chordata; Actinopteri; Siluriformes; Bagridae.
CAGUGCUGAACAACCUUGAACCUCAUGUGUUACAACACUUGGUUCACUGGAUAAUACAAGGAGUGUGAUCCAUUUCAGCAGAAGAGAUCAGACUUUUUACUGCACUCAGCUGUGUGUUUGUGCAGAUUUUACUAAUAUUCAAUGAUGGAGCCUCUUGAUCUGGACACAGAUAAUGUUGCCCCAACAUCAAACAACUGUAAACUCCAGGGAAAGAGAUCAGAAUCACCAGCACCCAGCUGUAUCUCCAUGAAGAGUGAUCAGUCAAUGUUUGCGCUUAUGGUUUUUAAAGAUGGAGACUCACUUCUACACAG